This 898-nucleotide ribosomal RNA is filed under the name Candidatus Phytoplasma fraxini. RNAcentral's name for it is "bacterial SSU rRNA". It matches the Rfam family "Bacterial small subunit ribosomal RNA", at positions 348 to 1253 of the family's 1533-position model. Lineage: Bacteria; Bacillati; Mycoplasmatota; Mollicutes; Acholeplasmatales; Acholeplasmataceae. The record is from RNAcentral.
GCAGCAGUAGGGAAUUUUCGGCAAUGGAGGAAACUCUGACCGAGCAACGCCGCGUGAACGAUGAAGUAUUUCGGUAUGUAAAGUUCUUUUAUUGAAGAAGAAAAAAUAGUGGAAAAACUAUCUUGACGUUAUUCAAUGAAUAAGCCCCGGCUAACUAUGUGCCAGCAGCCGCGGUAAGACAUAGGGGGCGAGCGUUAUCCGGAAUUAUUGGGCGUAAAGGGUGCGUAGGCGGUUAGGAAAGUCUAUAAUUUAAUUUCAGUGCUUAACGCUGUCUUGUUAUAGAAACUACCUUGACUAGAGUUAGAUAGAGGCAAGCGGAAUUCCAUGUGUAGCGGUAAAAUGUGUAAAUAUAUGGAGGAACACCAGAAGCGUAGGCGGCUUGCUGGGUCUUGACUGACGCUGAGGCACGAAAGCGUGGGUAGCAAACAGGAUUAGAUACCCUGGUAGUCCACGCCGUAAACGAUGAGUACUAAGUGUCGGGAUAAAACUCGGUACUGAAGUUAACACAUUAAGUACUCCGCCUGAGUAGUACGUACGCAAGUAUGAAACUUAAAGGAAUUGACGGGACUCCGCACAAGCGGUGGAUCAUGUUGUUUAAUUCGAAGAUACACGAAAAAUCUUACCAGGUCUUGACAUGCUCUGCAAAGCUAUAGAAAUAUAGUGGAGGUUAUCAGGGACACAGGUGGUGCAUGGUUGUCGUCAGUUCGUGUCGUGAGAUGUUAGGUUAAGUCCUAAAACGAGCGCAACCCUUGUCGUUAGUUACCAGCACGUAAUGGUGGGCACUUUAACGAGACUGCCAAUUAAACAUUGGAGGAAGGUGAGGAUUACGUCAAAUCAUCAUGCCCCUUAUGAUCUGGGCUACAAACGUGAUACAAUGGCUGUUACAAAGAGUAGCUGA